Molecule: ribosomal RNA, 1400 nt
Filed under: Limosilactobacillus fermentum
Lineage: Bacteria; Bacillati; Bacillota; Bacilli; Lactobacillales; Lactobacillaceae
Description: Lactobacillus fermentum 16S ribosomal RNA
Rfam family: Bacterial small subunit ribosomal RNA
Source: RNAcentral
UUUGGUCGCCAACGAGUGGCGGACGGGUGAGUAACACGUAGGUAACCUGCCCAGAAGCGGGGGACAACAUUUGGAAACAGAUGCUAAUACCGCAUAACAGCGUUGUUCGCAUGAACAACGCUUAAAAGAUGGCUUCUCGCUAUCACUUCUGGAUGGACCUGCGGUGCAUUAGCUUGUUGGUGGGGUAACGGCCUACCAAGGCGAUGAUGCAUAGCCGAGUUGAGAGACUGAUCGGCCACAAUGGGACUGAGACACGGCCCAUACUCCUACGGGAGGCAGCAGUAGGGAAUCUUCCACAAUGGGCGCAAGCCUGAUGGAGCAACACCGCGUGAGUGAAGAAGGGUUUCGGCUCGUAAAGCUCUGUUGUUAAAGAAGAACACGUAUGAGAGUAACUGUUCAUACGUUGACGGUAUUUAACCAGAAAGUCACGGCUAACUACGUGCCAGCAGCCGCGGUAAUACGUAGGUGGCAAGCGUUAUCCGGAUUUAUUGGGCGUAAAGAGAGUGCAGGCGGUUUUCUAAGUCUGAUGUGAAAGCCUUCGGCUUAACCGGAGAAGUGCAUCGGAAACUGGAUAACUUGAGUGCAGAAGAGGGUAGUGGAACUCCAUGUGUAGCGGUGGAAUGCGUAGAUAUAUGGAAGAACACCAGUGGCGAAGGCGGCUACCUGGUCUGCAACUGACGCUGAGACUCGAAAGCAUGGGUAGCGAACAGGAUUAGAUACCCUGGUAGUCCAUGCCGUAAACGAUGAGUGCUAGGUGUUGGAGGGUUUCCGCCCUUCAGUGCCGGAGCUAACGCAUUAAGCACUCCGCCUGGGGAGUACGACCGCAAGGUUGAAACUCAAAGGAAUUGACGGGGGCCCGCACAAGCGGUGGAGCAUGUGGUUUAAUUCGAAGCUACGCGAAGAACCUUACCAGGUCUUGACAUCUUGCGCCAACCCUAGAGAUAGGGCGUUUCCUUCGGGAACGCAAUGACAGGUGGUGCAUGGUCGUCGUCAGCUCGUGUCGUGAGAUGUUGGGUUAAGUCCCGCAACGAGCGCAACCCUUGUUACUAGUUGCCAGCAUUAAGUUGGGCACUCUAGUGAGACUGCCGGUGACAAACCGGAGGAAGGUGGGGACGACGUCAGAUCAUCAUGCCCCUUAUGACCUGGGCUACACACGUGCUACAAUGGACGGUACAACGAGUCGCGAACUCGCGAGGGCAAGCAAAUCUCUUAAAACCGUUCUCAGUUCGGACUGCAGGCUGCAACUCGCCUGCACGAAGUCGGAAUCGCUAGUAAUCGCGGAUCAGCAUGCCGCGGUGAAUACGUUCCCGGGCCUUGUACACACCGCCCGUCACACCAUGAGAGUUUGUAACACCCAAAGUCGGUGGGGUAACCUUUUAGGAGCCAGCCGCCUAAGGUGG